This 402-nucleotide ribosomal RNA is filed under the name Verrucomicrobiota bacterium. Its description in RNAcentral is "Verrucomicrobia bacterium partial 16S ribosomal RNA". It matches the Rfam family "Bacterial small subunit ribosomal RNA", at positions 355 to 776 of the family's 1533-position model. The record is from RNAcentral. Lineage: Bacteria; Pseudomonadati; Verrucomicrobiota.
UGGGGAAUAUUGCACAAUGGGGGAAACCCUGAUGCAGCGACGCCGCGUGAUUUAGAAGGCCUUCGGGUUGUAAAAAUCUUUUGUAUGGGAAGAAAAUGACAGUACCAUACGAAUAAGGACCGGCUAAUUACGUGCCAGCAGCCGCGGUAAUACGUAAGGUCCGAGCGUUGUCCGGAAUCAUUGGGCGUAAAGGGUACGUAGGCGGAUAAGCAAGUUAGAAGUGAAAUCCUAUAGCUCAACUAUAGUAAGCUUUUAAAACUGCUCAUCUUGAGGUAUGGAAGGGAAAGUGGAAUUCCUAGUGUAGCGGUGAAAUGCGCAGAUAUUAGGAGGAAUACCGGUGGCGAAGGCGACUUUCUGGCCAUAAACUGACGCUGGGGUACGAAAGCGUGGGUAGCAAACAGG